AGGGGUGUAGCUCAGCAGUGGAGGAACUGCUCUUCAUGCAGAAGCUCCAGAGUUCAAUCCCUGGCAUCUCUA
Podarcis lilfordi (Lilford's wall lizard) is the source of this 72-nucleotide non-coding RNA. Lineage: Eukaryota; Metazoa; Chordata; Lepidosauria; Squamata; Lacertidae. The record is from the annotation of a GenBank genome assembly.